Molecule: long non-coding RNA, 2490 nt
Filed under: Dasypus novemcinctus (nine-banded armadillo)
Lineage: Eukaryota; Metazoa; Chordata; Mammalia; Cingulata; Dasypodidae
Description: lncRNA (ENSDNOG00000051060.1)
Source: RNAcentral
GGCCGCGACGAGGGCCGGGCGAGCCGGCCACCGAGGGCGCACUUACCCCGGUGGCCCUCCCCGACGCGGUAGGUGAGCAGCAACUGGAAGCGCUCGCCGGCGCGGCAGGGCUGCGGGAAAGCCACGCACAGGGCCUGGCCGUAGUGCGAGAAGGGCAGCGUGUGGAAGGGCACAGGCUCCGCGGACGGAUCCUCCGAGCCGGGCCGCUCCCGCCGCAGCGCCACCGCCGUCACCUCGAGGCACGGGUGCGAGUCGAGCCUCAGCUCGGUGGCGUCCCCGGGGGACAGGCAACGCAGCUCCAGGAGUGCCGUGCCGCUCAAGGCCCGGCUCCCGGGGCCCCGGCCCGGCGGCCCGAACUCAACUCGCAGGUCGAGGUGCAAGUGCAGCAUUUCGAAGGUCCGGAAACUGGAGGCCGAGGCCACAUCCGUAGUCUGUGCCGAGUGCAGCGGCCUCCGGGCCGCACCGCCGCCGGUCAAAGGCUCGCCGCUCGCCAUGGCCCCGCAGCGUUGUUCUGUAUCCGCGGCGCAGCCCUCUGGCUUGGUGGGCUGCCGCCUAAGGCCACGCCCCGAGCGCACCGCGCAGCCGCGGCCCGGGGGGGAGGGGGGCGGGCCCCGGGGGGGAAGGUCCGGAGGGGGGCGGGCCCCGGGGGGGAAGGUCCGGAGGAGAGGGGGCCCAGGGGCCCCCACGGCGCCUCUGCAAAUACCUGGGACCAGGCCACACCCCUUCCCUUGCUCUCAGUCGCCCUACUCUUCCAGCUUUAUACAGCCUUAACUUCAUCCUGGGAAUACAAGGAGACUUAUUCCCAUAAUUCUCAUUUCUGCUUCCCUGCAUGGCUCCCACAAUGUCGUGUUUGCUUCUGAAGUAGCCUGUAGAUGGGACUGUAACAGCUCACAGCAGAGAGAUUCAAGAUAGCCCCACGUGACCUUGCUUCCAUUCCUUUCUCCAUCGUGUAGCUGCAACCCACCUCUUCUCCCCUCAUCUGGCUGAAAAUUUGCCAGAGUUUAUGAAAAAUAUGAUUAUAUGGAUUUAAAAGUCACAAUAAAUUCCAAGCAAAAAACAAAAUAAAAAUAAUUGUAAAUAUAAGCAUCAUAGUUAAUUUCUGGAAGACUAAGACAAAGAAAACCAAGAAAGCUGUCAAAAAAAGACAGAUUCUCUACAAAAGAAUGACAGUUAGAAACUGGACCAAGAGCAGAAUUAUCAUUAGCAACAAUAGAAGUCAGAAGGCCUUCUCUUCAAAAUACUGAGAAAAAAAAAAACAGCUGUCAACUUAGAAUUGUAUGCCCAACUAAACUCUUAUUCAAGAAUGAAGGCAAAAGAGACCUUUAGAUAGCAAAAUCUGAGUGUUACCAUUAAUAGACUCUCACUGAAGAAAUUCUGAAGGAAUUACUUCAAGAAGGUGUGAAAGAAAACAAAACAUAAUGAAGUAAUUUAGGCUUAGUGACUUAAAAUGGAGUAAAAAAGCUGUGCAUACAAGAAGACCCUUUUGCCAUCCAUAAAAUCUGGUAAUUGUUAUAAGCAAAACUAAACAGCUAACAAAACCAUUCCCUUUCUGAAAAAAAGCAAGACCUAUUUCCAAGACCUUUGCCCUAACCAACUUUUCCCUUUUUGCUUCCUCUUUUUCCUACUAAAAAUCCUUGCCUGGUAGCGCCAACUUGGGACACAUUUAGGUUGCUACCUGAAUCUGGAUUGCAAUUCUGAGACCCAAAUAAAUGCUUUUAUUGCUUUAUAACUCAGUUUGCUGUUUCUCAGUGGGUGAAGGAAAAUGAUCACAGAUGGAAGGAAUGAGAUGCAAAAAGGAAUCACCAGCAAAAAAAAGUGGGUAAAUCCAAAUGCAUAAUGACUGUGUAAAACAGUAUAUUAAUAACUAUAAUUAAUAAUGUUUACCUGAGUGAAUCAGAUAAAACUAAAAAUACUAGAUUAAAAGUACAUAAGAUUCUGUUUGUUUAAAAAAAAAGAUACAACUUUAAAUGGAUUGUGUGAUGGUUAGGCUAAUGUGUCAACUCAGCAAGGUAAUUAUACCCAGCUGUUUGGUCAGGCAAGCACUGGGCUAAUUGUAAUAUAAAGACAUUUAUAGGCUUCAGUCAUGGGUGAGUUUGCUGCAUAGAUGACGUAUUACAUCUGCAUCGACCAGGGAGAUUGCCUUCAGCAAUGAGUGACGCUGUAUCCCAACAGUUGAAUACCUUAAAAGAGGAAGUGCUUUCAGCAUUCAGGGAGAAUUUCCCAGUUUGUCUUUGGACGGCCAACAUCUCCCAGAACCCAUCAAGGACCUUCAUUAGACUUUCAUUGGAGUCCCUGGUUUGCAGCCUGCCUGCAGAACCUGGACUUGUACACCCCCGUGGUCACAUGAGAGACUCUUAUAAAAUCUCAUACUAUUUACAGAUAUCUCCUGUUGAUUCUGUUUCCCUAGAGAACCCUGACUAAUACAGCUUAUAUGGUAUGUGAAUAUGUUCAAUAAAAUUGUUUUUAAAAGGUACUAUAACAUGAGAGGGG